This 75-nucleotide transfer RNA is filed under the name Bacteroidota bacterium. RNAcentral's name for it is "Bacteroidetes bacterium tRNA-Asn". It matches the Rfam family "tRNA". Rfam says of the family: Transfer RNA (tRNA) molecules are approximately 80 nucleotides in length. Their secondary structure includes four short double-helical elements and three loops (D, anti-codon, and T loops). RNAcentral also lists the same sequence under 1 other name. The record is from RNAcentral. Lineage: Bacteria; Pseudomonadati; Bacteroidota.
UCCUCGGUAGCUCAGGGGCAGAGCAAGCGACUGUUAAUCGCUGGGUCGUAGGUUCAAAUCCUACCCGGGGAGCAA